AGAUUAAGUUAUUAAGGGCGCACGGUGGAUGCCUUGGCACUAGAAGCCGAUGAAGGACGUUACUAACGACGAUAUGCUUUGGGGAGCUGUAAGUAAGCUUUGAUCCAGAGAUUUCCGAAUGGGGAAACCCAGCAUGAGUUAUGUCAUGUUAUCGAUAUGUGAAUACAUAGCAUAUCAGAAGGCACACCCGGAGAACUGAAACAUCUUAGUACCCGGAGGAAGAGAAAGAAAAUUCGAUUCCCUUAGUAGCGGCGAGCGAAACGGGAAGAGCCCAAACCAACAAGCUUGCUUGUUGGGGUUGUAGGACACUCUAUACGGAGUUACAAAGGACGACAUUAGACGAAUCAUCUGGAAAGAUGAAUCAAAGAAGGUAAUAAUCCUGUAGUCGAAAAUGUUGUCUCUCUUGAGUGGAUCCUGAGUACGACGGAGCACGUGAAAUUCCGUCGGAAUCUGGGAGGACCAUCUCCUAAGGCUAAAUACUCUCUAGUGACCGAUAGUGAACCAGUACCGUGAGGGAAAGGUGAAAAGCACCCCGGAAGGGGAGUGAAAUAGAACCUGAAACCGUGUGCUUACAAGUAGUCAGAGCCCGUUAAUGGGUGAUGGCGUGCCUUUUGUAGAAUGAACCGGCGAGUUACGAUUUGAUGCAAGGUUAAGCAGUAAAUGUGGAGCCGUAGCGAAAGCGAGUCUGAAUAGGGCGGUUAGUAUUUGGUCGUAGACCCGAAACCAGGUGAUCUACCCUUGGUCAGGUUGAAGUUCAGGUAACACUGAAUGGAGGACCGAACCGACUUACGUUGAAAAGUGAGCGGAUGAACUGAGGGUAGCGGAGAAAUUCCAAUCGAACCUGGAGAUAGCUGGUUCUCUCCGAAAUAGCUUUAGGGCUAGCCUCAAGUGAUGAUUAUUGGAGGUAGAGCACUGUUUGGACGAGGGGCCCCUCUCGGGUUACCGAAUUCAGACAAACUCCGAAUGCCAAUUAAUUUAACUUGGGAGUCAGAACAUGGGUGAUAAGGUCCGUGUUCGAAAGGGAAACAGCCCAGACCACCAGCUAAGGUCCCAAAAUAUAUGUUAAGUGGAAAAGGAUGUGGCGUUGCCCAGACAACUAGGAUGUUGGCUUAGAAGCAGCCAUCAUUUAAAGAGUGCGUAAUAGCUCACUAGUCGAGUGACACUGCGCCGAAAAUGUACCGGGGCUAAACAUAUUACCGAAGCUGUGGAUUGUCCUUUGGACAAUGGUAGGAGAGCGUUCUAAGGGCGUUGAAGCAUGAUCGUAAGGACAUGUGGAGCGCUUAGAAGUGAGAAUGCCGGUGUGAGUAGCGAAAGACGGGUGAGAAUCCCGUCCACCGAUUGACUAAGGUUUCCAGAGGAAGGCUCGUCCGCUCUGGGUUAGUCGGGUCCUAAGCUGAGGCCGACAGGCGUAGGCGAUGGAUAACAGGUUGAUAUUCCUGUACCACCUAUAAUCGUUUUAAUCGAUGGGGGGACGCAGUAGGAUAGGCGAAGCGUGCGAUUGGAUUGCACGUCUAAGCAGUAAGGCUGAGUAUUAGGCAAAUCCGGUACUCGUUAAGGCUGAGCUGUGAUGGGGAGAAGACAUUGUGUCUUCGAGUCGUUGAUUUCACACUGCCGAGAAAAGCCUCUAGAUAGAAAAUAGGUGCCCGUACCGCAAACCGACACAGGUAGUCAAGAUGAGAAUUCUAAGGUGAGCGAGCGAACUCUCGUUAAGGAACUCGGCAAAAUGACCCCGUAACUUCGGGAGAAGGGGUGCUCUUUAGGGUUAACGCCCAGAAGAGCCGCAGUGAAUAGGCCCAAGCGACUGUUUAUCAAAAACACAGGUCUCUGCUAAACCGUAAGGUGAUGUAUAGGGGCUGACGCCUGCCCGGUGCUGGAAGGUUAAGAGGAGUGGUUAGCUUCUGCGAAGCUACGAAUCGAAGCCCCAGUAAACGGCGGCCGUAACUAUAACGGUCCUAAGGUAGCGAAAUUCCUUGUCGGGUAAGUUCCGACCCGCACGAAAGGCGUAACGAUUUGGGCACUGUCUCAACGAGAGACUCGGUGAAAUCAUAGUACCUGUGAAGAUGCAGGUUACCCGCGACAGGACGGAAAGACCCCGUGGAGCUUUACUGUAGCCUGAUAUUGAAAUUCGGCACAGCUUGUACAGGAUAGGUAGGAGCCUUUGAAACGUGAGCGCUAGCUUACGUGGAGGCGCUGGUGGGAUACUACCCUAGCUGUGUUGGCUUUCUAACCCGCACCACUUAUCGUGGUGGGAGACAGUGUCAGGCGGGCAGUUUGACUGGGGCGGUCGCCUCCUAAAAGGUAACGGAGGCGCUCAAAGGUUCCCUCAGAAUGGUUGGAAAUCAUUCAUAGAGUGUAAAGGCAUAAGGGAGCUUGACUGCGAGACCUACAAGUCGAGCAGGGUCGAAAGACGGACUUAGUGAUCCGGUGGUUCCGCAUGGAAGGGCCAUCGCUCAACGGAUAAAAGCUACCCCGGGGAUAACAGGCUUAUCUCCCCCAAGAGUUCACAUCGACGGGGAGGUUUGGCACCUCGAUGUCGGCUCAUCGCAUCCUGGGGCUGUAGUCGGUCCCAAGGGUUGGGCUGUUCGCCCAUUAAAGCGGUACGCGAGCUGGGUUCAGAACGUCGUGAGACAGUUCGGUCCCUAUCCGUCGUGGGCGUAGGAAAUUUGAGAGGAGCUGUCCUUAGUACGAGAGGACCGGGAUGGACAUACCUCUGGUGUACCAGUUGUCGUGCCAACGGCAUAGCUGGGUAGCUAUGUGUGGACGGGAUAAGUGCUGAAAGCAUCUAAGCAUGAAGCCCCCCUCAAGAUGAGAUUUCCCAACUUCGGUUAUAAGAUCCCUCAAAGAUGAUGAGGUUAAUAGGUUCGAGGUGGAAGCAUGGUGACAUGUGGAGCUGACGAAUACUAAUCGAUCGAAGACUUAAUCAAAUU
Molecule: ribosomal RNA, 2927 nt
Filed under: Staphylococcus aureus
Lineage: Bacteria; Bacillati; Bacillota; Bacilli; Caryophanales; Staphylococcaceae
Description: 23S ribosomal RNA
Rfam family: Bacterial large subunit ribosomal RNA
Source: RNAcentral